GCCAGGCGUGGUGGUGGGCGCCUGUAAUCCUAGCUACCUGGGAGGCUGAGGCGGGAGAAUUGCUUGAACCUGGGAGGCAGAGGUUGCAGUGAGCCAAGAUCGUGCCACUGCACUCCAGCCUGGGUGACAGAGCAAGACUCUGUCUCAA
This is a non-coding RNA of Pan troglodytes (chimpanzee), 148 nucleotides long. It matches the Rfam family "Metazoan signal recognition particle RNA". Rfam says of the family: The signal recognition particle (SRP) is a universally conserved ribonucleoprotein. It is involved in the co-translational targeting of proteins to membranes. NCBI's taxonomy places the organism in Eukaryota, Metazoa, Chordata, Mammalia, Primates, Hominidae. The record is from Rfam.